AGCCCGGUGGUGUAGCGGCAAGCAUACUGGCCUUUGGAGCCGGUGACCUAGGUUCGAAUCCUAGCCGGGCUA
RNAcentral lists this transfer RNA (72 nucleotides) under Nitrososphaerota archaeon. RNAcentral's name for it is "tRNA-Gln". It matches the Rfam family "tRNA". From Rfam's summary of the family: Transfer RNA (tRNA) molecules are approximately 80 nucleotides in length. Their secondary structure includes four short double-helical elements and three loops (D, anti-codon, and T loops). Lineage: Archaea; Thermoproteati; Nitrososphaerota. The record is from RNAcentral.